This is a long non-coding RNA of Drosophila sulfurigaster albostrigata, 782 nucleotides long. RefSeq lists it as uncharacterized. The transcript is spliced from 2 exons. Lineage: Eukaryota; Metazoa; Arthropoda; Insecta; Diptera; Drosophilidae. The record is from RefSeq and is a predicted model, not a curated record.
CUGCAUAAAAUGAAUAAAUUUCAAGAGCACAAAUGAAUAAUGAAGGUACUACACUGAGAGAAAUACUAGAGCGAUAGAUCAAGAUCAUUUCCCUCCUAAAAAGAUAUAUGUACCUUAAUAAAUAAUACAUUUUAUUUAAAUGUAUUUACGGGGAAUAAAGGUUGUGCACUUAGAAAAAUCACUGCGGAUAACAGCUAAAAAUACCAUUAAAAGGUAACUAAGACAUUAUUUAUGGCCAGUUCGUAAACAAUUAUUCAUUUCGCUUUGAAAAAGUCUUUUAAACUUUAUUUUUAUUAAGCAUUGACAAAAAAAAGUACCUAAAUUAAUAUUGCUUUGAAAAUAAAUUGUCGUUUUGAUGCUAAAGUCAAGCUGAAGUCAAAUUUCAAGUGUCUGAUUUUCAUCUUGUUUUUUCGGCUUGAUUGGUUGGGGAUGAGGCGUCACCGUCAAAUUGAUUAUUCAGCUGGUUUUAAUUGAAAACCGAAAAGAAGAAGGAAUGAAUGAAUGGUAUGGCAGGAAGCAGGAAGUCAAAUUCGAGGUGUGGCUGUCCGUUUGUUGAUUUUAUGCUAAUCUAUGCAGCUCAGUAAGAGCAUCAAAGACGUCGAAGCUAAAGCUAAAUUUGAGACUGAGCCAGAGUGGCUGCUGCUGUUGCUGUUGCUUUUCCUGACCGGGAUGAGGUGCUGUCGAUUCAUUUGAAUUUCUGCAUAAAAUUAAAUGACAACCGCCUGCUUCUGCUUCACAGAAUAUGUCAAAGCAAAAUAAACAGUUUUAUUCAUAAUUAUGCA